GAUAAACGCUGGCGGCGUGCCUAAUACAUGCAAGUCGAACGGAGAGCUGUAGCAAUACUGCUCUUAGUGGCGAAUGGGUGAGUAACGCGUUGGUGACCUGCCCCGAAGAGGGGGACAACAGUUCGAAAGGACUGCUAAUACCCCGUGUGGUUACAAGGAUUAGAUGCCUUGUAUCUAAAGGAGUAAUCCGCUUCGGGAGGGGCCUGCGUCCCAUCAGCUAGUUGGUAGGGUAAUGGCCUACCAAGGCGACGACGGGUAGGGGGCCUGAGAGGGUGGCCCCCCACACUGGCGACUGAACAACGGGCCGACGACACCUACCGGGUGGGCUG
This 329-nucleotide ribosomal RNA is filed under the name uncultured Chloroflexota bacterium. Its description in RNAcentral is "bacterial SSU rRNA". It matches the Rfam family "Bacterial small subunit ribosomal RNA", at positions 28 to 351 of the family's 1533-position model. The record is from RNAcentral. Lineage: Bacteria; Bacillati; Chloroflexota.